This is a long non-coding RNA of Scophthalmus maximus (turbot), 5747 nucleotides long. Lineage: Eukaryota; Metazoa; Chordata; Actinopteri; Pleuronectiformes; Scophthalmidae. The record is from Ensembl.
UAUACUGAGUAUACUGUUAGUAUACUGAGUUAUUUUGUACACACACACACACACACACACACACACACACACACACGAAACACACACACACACACACACACACACACACACACCGAGACACGUGAAAACAAAACUACGCCGACGCACAGCGUGAACGUCCCAUGUUUCUCUGAGCCCCUCUGUCUUUCUCUUCCGCAGAAGUUCCCCAGUGGGAUCCCCUUCCCGCCGGGACUCAAGCCCCCCACCCGUCCGAAGGGCCAGUCCAGCCCCGCGGCUCCUCCCCGGGAACAUUUUACCUCCGACACUCCACCUCCAUCCUACACCGCCGCCACCCACGCCGCGCUGCCAGCCUCGGAGCCUCCCAACGCAGCCGGCGACCAGCCUGCCGGCUCAGCUGAGGUGGAGGACCUGGGCUCUGUGGUGGUGAAGGUCCACUACACGUACACCGUGGCUCUGUCCGUCCCGCUGUACGCGCCGUACCGCGACGUGAAGGGACUGAUUGCACAGAAACUGGGCCAGCCCGCGUCUCAGCUGCGCCUCAGACAAAAGCCACAUGGCUCCCAAGUGCUGAUCCCACUGAGAGGGGAGGCGGAGCCAGACCAAACCAUGCAGGAAGUGGCUGAGGCCGGCAGGGCCACCCUGUGGUGUCAGAGAGAGGACCCCCUGGUCAACUAUACCAUCCUCUACCAGAUGGUGGCGCUCUAUGACUACGCCGCUCAGGGCCCGGAGGACUUGGAGUUCAGCGAAGGGGACACCGUGGACAUCCUCGGGGAAGGUGAGGCCCCCUGCCGGUUCAACCUCCGGCGGAGUGGACAAAGAGUCUCUGAUCUCCGCCGGGCGCGUGAAAGGUUCUCCACACUGCCUCGGCCCCCGCUCAGAUACGUCUCCUUGUGUUUCUCUCUCCCGCACUCCUCCGGCUCUCUGUCUUCUCACUCUUUACAGUUAACGAGGAAUGGCUGGAGGGACACUGCGCGGGAAAUAUCGGCAUCUUCCCCAGCUGCUUCGCCUACAGGGAGGACGCCAACUUCACCCAGGGCCGAGUCCUCGAGGCCGACGAGACACUGUACAGUAAUGCCCAGUGAACCCGUUAACGGUGGCUGUUUAUAGGCCCAGAACAACUGAACCCCCCCUCCCUCUCAGUGCAUCAUUAAGUCAGCACUGAUUUUAUUGAGAUUUAAAAUAACUUCUGUCCCAUAUGGUAUCACCGUAACGUUGCUAUAGUGGCUCAGAGUGAAGGUACACUGGACGUCCAUGAAGGUCCUGAAGAGUACGUUUAUAUUAACUUAAUUUUGACUUUUUAACUUUUCUAUGUCCUAUGUUUUUUUCUCUAUAAUUUUCCUGCGGCAGACGGUGCAGUGGCUAUCACUGUCCCCUCACAACAAGAAGGUUUGAUUUUAUUUUUAUGUAUCUCGUACAAUCAACAACAAAGAAAAAAUUUGAUGAAAACACAAAGAUAAACACAAACAGAUAAAUCACUCCGAUUCGGUCAAAGAACAAAACAAGGAUGCGUUCGAGAAGGAACAUGCAGAAGCAUAGUGCUUAUAUAGUCCUGCCCCAACUUUACAAUAUCAUAUUAUUACAGAAAAAAACUAAUAUAUGUAUACAUACUGCAAGAAUGCAGGUCAUACAACAACAUAUUGUACAACAGUACACUAAACUUAGUUACUAUCUAACUAACUUCCUCCUUUCUAACGGUCAAAUAUUGUUUACUUGGAUGUAUUUUUGAACUGUAUUAUAUUAUGGCUUUGUUUGAUUUCAUGGUUUAGUCCAGUCCACAAGGUCACCGCACAAACUGAAAUACACAUGCUCUUGUUUGCAUGUCGUCCCUCAGUCAACUUAGGUUGAAGUGGCCUUCAGGUGAGAAUGUGGGCGUGGGACCGGCUCCAGCCCCCCACGAACACAACCGAUAAGUGCUAUUGAUGAUGGCUGGAUGGAUGCCUCCAGUAUGAUAUUAAAAUGAAGGUUUAAACUGUUACCAUAUCAAACUUUGUGAUAUUUCCAUUCAAUUUUAUAUCAAAUUAAAGUUCACAGGCUUACGUCCACAGGCUUAUAAUGAAUUUUAAGUGUGUUGAGGUCGCUGUGCACUGCCAUGGGGGCGAACAUUGUAUUCUGAUAUGUUUUCCCAAUGACGUUACUGAAGAUGUGUAAUGUAAUCUCAUUCGUAUCCUUUCAGCUGUGUGGAGUUGGAACGUAAAGAAUGAAUAAAAGUAUCUUGCAAUGAAGGAGGCCACCGAGACACUUGAUUGUGACGGAGCUGGAAUGAGCUGUGCAAACUUGAACAGUGUCCAGGAACUUCAUUACAGUUAUUGGUUGUUCAAAUAACUUGCCAGUAGUUUGCCAAAGGGAAGGAAGGGGACUCAGAGAGUGCAGGGACGCUAAACGCUCUCAUGAGACUCAAUCUGUGAUUUUUUUUCGGUCACUCUGGCCUGAAAUCUGUCUCCGCCAGAGGGUCUGAAAGUGGUCAUGUGACAGGUAGACUGGUGCAGGCGAGAAAAAGUGUGAACCCCUUUGGAUCCAGCUGUUUUUUUGUUGGAUAAAAAUGUGUUAAUCAUCUUAGUACAGACAGAAGGUACAGUACUAUGUGCUUAAAGGUGACAUAUUAUGCUCAUAUUCCGGUUCGUAGUUUUAAUUUGUGUUACCCACUUGAAACAGGUUGACAUGCUCUAAUGUUCAGAAAAGGCAUCAGUGUUCUCACACUGCCCAUUCCUGCAGCUCCUCCUUUCACCCUCGGUCUGAAAGGCCUGGAGUUCAUUUAGCCCCGCCUCCCGAUAAACCCAGUCUGCUCUGAUUGGCCAGCUGGCCCGGACUGUUGUGAUAGGUCCACCGAUUUCAAAAUGUGUAGGAAGUGUCACUCGACCUCACCAGAAAAGUAGAGAUUCUCAGAUUUCAGGCGGGGUUACCCCCAAAAGAGUCCAACUGUGACAUCACAGUGGGAGAGAAAUCUGAACCAGUGGUUCAGAGCCAGGCUGUAGGGUUUAGCCAGCUCACAAAAAACCCGACAUGGUGGUCUUUUUUUACAGUUUGUGGGCCGGCAGGCUCCACAGAUAAACAAACACUGAAAAAGUGAUUUUUUAAUAAUAUGUCACCUUUAAGGUACUUAUAAUAUUGCAUGUCUUUAUUGAAUGCAGCCAUUAAACAUGCACGGCGCUGUUGGAGAAAGUAAGUGAACCGUUAGAUUUUGGACUGUUCUUCCCGCAGAGCUGCGUCAGCUCAGACAUAUUCUGAGUACGUCCGAUGUGUGCAGCUCAUUUAAAUAAGCUCGGAUCUGACUCCUUUUGUUGAAGUUGCUCUGUAGUAGAUUUACCUUAAUGUUACCUUAACCUUAAUGCUGCAUCACCAGCUUCUGCUUGUGAGCAGACACCCGGCCAUUAUCCCGUAAGAUACACUGAUAAACUCCAAUACAUUUCCCCCCUUGAUGUUGGUGAGCUGUCCAGGCCCAGAGGCAGAUGCUUUUCCCAUCGUACUUCGCCCCCGAGAUGAUGUUUUUAUGUAUGACAGCAUUUUUUUUACAUCCCACGUUGUCCAGAAAACAUCUGGCAAACUUCAAAUUCUUCUUUUUUGUGUGUGUGAAGCAGCUGCUUCCUCUGUGAUACACAUGCUCGAUGCACCACGAUUCGAUCGACUCGUGAACAAGGAUCUAUACCAGCUCCAAUGAUUCCCCUUCAGCCUUUAGCUGUUACUCUGGAGCUCUGAAUUUCUCACCUCACUGAACGUUCUGCCUUGGAGAACUAACUAACACAGAAAUUGUGGGCUGACCGAAAUUCUUUCAGAUUAUUCUUGUGUGCUAUUGGUAGAAAACCCUUGCAACUCAUUCUGUCAUUUGUUCAUAUAGGGGAAGGACGUUGCCUGGCACGCACAGAUUUUGUGGAAUCAUUGAUCCAAGGAAUCCGAUUGUCCCUUUACGAAAUUCCGUGGACCAACAGCUCCAGAGACCAUGUUUUUUUUCUUCUAACUCUGAUGGCAUCAGCCUUUCAUCACCACGGUCACAGCUUCAUCUCACAAUGCGACUCCUCUAUAUUGGAAUUCACGAGACGUUAAACAAAGUUGGAUCGAUUGGCGCUCUUCUACUAAAAUAACACCUCAAAACGAAUAAUGUUCAGGCCGUGGCAGCCCCUUAAACCCAGCAGCUAAUAUCAUCUAUGUCCUCCAUAUAUAUAUAUAUAUAUAUAUAUAUAUAUAUAUAAAGAAGAGCAAUAUCUGAGUUCAUGUAUAAAGCGUUAUGAAUUGAGCAAAGAACAAUGACAGUGGAGUAAGUGUAGAGUAACAGUAAUAUUUGUACUAUGUAAUUACUCUUCACCAAUCAAUUAAUAAGACUAUUUGUAUAGCACCUUUCAUUCAAACUAUGUAGCACAAAGUAGCUUUGUAGAAUGAAUGCAAUAAAACCUACUACUUUAAUUUCAUCACACACACACACACUGCAAUGUAAAAUUAGGCAUCAUGACUGUAUCCACUCUGGACAGUGUUCCCAAAAAUAUCACCUUUAAGAGUUAGAAACUGGGGGUUUAUGGGGUAGAGAGAGCGUAGUAGAAGCAGAGGACAUUUAGGUAUUUUUAUCUACACCUAUUUGGACACAGUUUCAUGUUGCGUAAUGACACAUCAAGAUGAGUAAGGGAGGAGGGCAGGACCAGCAAAUUCAUUUCGUGUGAACAGGGUGUAUGUGCGCGCCCUUGUGGAUUUUAGACAUUUUUACUCAAAUCCGUGGCUAUUUUUCGCUUGAUCUCUGCUCCCUUUUCCAAAGCUAAAAGCUACAAAAAUCAAGUCGGCACUUUGUUAGACUAUGAGCACACAUUGAGGGAUGUACCUUUUGCCAACACAUGCAUGCAUUCAGGCACCUCUCACCUCCUCGCCACCGUAUGUCUGGGCGGGGGACUCACGAGAAAGACAGAGCGUCCAAGUCUCUGUGAAUGAGGAGGUAGGAUGGGGGCAGCAGCAAGUUCACCGGCCUGGGCAUUGAAAUGAAAUGUCACGUGCUUUUAGCUGUUUUCACAGAUGGUAGAUGUGGGAAAAAUGGCGAGGUGGGGGGCCACUGGAGCCGCUGAGAGCGCCAUUCAGAUGACUUACGAAGCAGAGGCCUCUAAUUACUGCACUACUCUCCCGGCCCACCGGAUUUCGACGCCCACCUUCCCCGCCGCAGCCACCGGUAGCGAGGAUGAACGCGGUGGGAGUUUUACAUCAGCUCUACGUCGGUCAACAAAUGACUGUUCUCUGCGCGGAGAGGCUGAAGAGAGUGCUUUCUCUUGGCUGGCCAGGACGAGGCAGCAGCAUAUUGUGCCAUUCUUCUACACGCGAAAUAAAAUGUCAAUUGAAAAGCGGACGUAAUGGGAAAAACACAAUCGGGCAGUGUUACAAUUUAAUUUAAUACUGAAGCUGUCUUUUAUCACGCUGGUGAGUUGGGCUAAAUGUAGCCACACGUUUGUGCGUGAGCGUGCCACCAUUUGCUAAUUAGAGGUGAACUCAAAGUACAGUAUCACCGCCCUUGAAAUGCCUGGUUGGCAAACUCCAAGCAAGCCGUCGAAUGCCUCCAACUCAAAGUGGCCUCCCUUCUCGCCACUCUAUACCACGUCGAUCCAUGAAGAGCUGGUGAGAUCUUUGUCCCUCCAGCAGGUUCUCCCAUGUCUGCAGAGGAAGUCCGGAACUCUGUCGGAGUGACCGCUGCCGCUUCGGUCGCCAUCGAGGCCCAUUUUUGGUCAUGCCGGGAAGGGUCCCGGUCGGUUGCAAACUUCUUUAAUUCCAGGAUGUGAUGGAGG